RNAcentral lists this unclassified non-coding RNA (2362 nucleotides) under Hevea brasiliensis (rubber tree). Lineage: Eukaryota; Viridiplantae; Streptophyta; Magnoliopsida; Malpighiales; Euphorbiaceae. The record is from RNAcentral.
CCUUUUCUUACAUAGAACACAAAACUCAAGUCUUUUUGUUCGAAUCACACCAGUGGCCUCAAACUGAUAAGAAGCACGCACGCAAGGUACGGUCUUAUGUGGGAUUCUUGGAUCCGCUCAAUGGAUAACUCCCACUUGUGUCGUUUGUGAAAAGAGAGACUUCUCAACUCGGAAACCCAUUCGAUAUCUUUUUUUCUUUUUGAUUGUUUCGAGUUUUUAACUUCACCCCUGUUGUUUGUUUUCUCCGUUUCAUUCUAUUUUCUUGCUGGUUGUUUUGCUUAUGGGAUAUUGAACGGGAUUUGCUCUCUGGGUUUUUGAUUUUCGUAUCUUUCUGGUUCUUGUUGAGAAAUGAUGUCAAUGACAUGCCACGGUCUCGAUUUUGGUGGGACUGUGUUUGAUUUGGCGGCUUGUGGGUGCUCCUCCAAUGUUUCAAUAGAUAGGCGUUCAGUGAGGAAUUAUGGAAGGUCGGUUUCUAGGACUUGUAAUAGGGACUAUGCUGCCAGAAGAUUGCUUUGCUACUGGAGAGAUAUUGCUCGGUGUCGUGUUUCUUCGACCAAGACCCCUAAGACUCUGCUUAAUGGUAACUUUUUUUCUUUGCUAAAUGCUUCUUUCUAUGGAAGUGGCUGUAUUUGCUUUAGCAAAUUUUAGUUCACAAUAUCCAACAGCAACUGGUUUUAUCCAUUUAGUUUCUGUUCUUAUUGGUGUUGGUUGUAUUUGCUGUUGCCUGACAUAACUUGAAUUUGGUUCAUUACAUGUUUGCCGUUUUUCAACGGAAUGACCAUUAUCAGUGGCUAGUUAUUGGUAGCAGUUUCCCGUUUCUCUUAGUCUAGCGGAGUUGAAGUGGAGACUUCCAAGUUCUAGCCAACAAUAGUAACUUGGUUGUGCAAUUAAGUCCUUCAUUUUUGUAAAGAUUGUUUGGUUAGCAUGCAGUGUCUGCUAAAUUUUGUGUAACUGCAAUGACUUAGCACUGAGAUGUUUGAACUCUUAGCAUUUGUUUAUUUGUGCAAUCAAUACAGGAGUUACUCAAGGUCCUUCAACACUGUUGACUUUGAAGGAGUCAAGAGGCUCAAUUAAAUUGAAAAAUGUGUUUGAAGUGGUUGCUGAUGAUCUCCAGACUCUUAACCAAAACCUCCGGUCGAUUGUUGGUGCAGAAAACCCAGUUUUAAUGUCUGCAGCUGAUCAGAUAUUUGGUGCUGGUGGGAAAAGGAUGCGACCAGCUUUGGUAUUCCUAGUGUCAAGAGCCACAGCAGAAAUAGUAGGGUUAAAAGAACUCACUACGAAACAUCGACGUUUAGCAGAGAUCAUUGAGAUGAUCCAUACUGCAAGCUUAAUCCAUGAUGAUGUACUAGAUGAAAGUAACAUGCGAAGAGGAAAACAAACGGUUCAUCAACUCUAUGGCACGAGGGUGGCAGUACUGGCUGGGGAUUUCAUGUUUGCUCAGUCCUCAUGGUACCUAGCAAAUCUUGAAAACAUUGAAGUCAUUAAGCUUAUCAGCCAGGUUAUUAAAGAUUUUGCAAGUGGUGAAAUAAAGCAAGCAUCUAGUUUGUUUGACUGCGAUGUUGAACUCGAGGAGUACUUGAUCAAGAGCUAUUACAAAACUGCCUCUUUAAUUGCUGCAAGUACCAAAGGAGCUGCUAUUUUUAGUGGGGUGGACAGCAGUGUUGCUGAACAAAUGUAUGAAUAUGGUAAGAAUCUUGGUCUGUCCUUCCAAGUUGUUGACGACGUACUGGAUUUUACGCAGUCAGCAGAGCAGCUGGGGAAGCCAGCUGGCAGUGACUUGGCAAAAGGGAACCUUACCGCCCCUGUAAUAUUUGCUCUGGAGAAAGAACCAAAACUGAGAGAAAUCAUUGAGUCUGAAUUCUGUGAGACUGGUUCUCUGGAUGAAGCUGUUGAGUUGGUUAAGCAGUGUGGGGGAAUUGAAAGAGCACAAGAAUUAGCGAAGGAGAAAGCUGAUCUUGCAAUACAGAAUCUUAAUUGUCUUCCUCUGGGUGUAUUUCAAUCACAUCUCAAAGAAAUGGUGUUGUACAAUCUCGAACGCAUUGAUUAGUUAGAUACUGCUUGAUAGGAAACAAAUAUAGGUAAGCUUUACAGGGGUAUAAACAGAAUAAGCUGGAUGAGGAUCCUUUAUGUAUCAGUGCAGCAAUUGUUUUUCUGCAAUUGUUUCACCUGAAAUCAGAAAUAACUCCGCAAAUUUUCUGGUAUACAGAUUUUUGUGGCCAUCAAUAAUGUGAAGCUUCUUUAUGUAUUUUUGCUGAUUUUCUUCUUCGUGUUAUCAUGUUGUAAUUAUUAUACAUGAUAUUAUCAUUUUCUGAACCCUUGAAGCCUUCAUUUAUCCCUUGUAAUGCUUUGCCCUCCACCAAGC